This 48-nucleotide non-coding RNA is filed under the name Trichobilharzia regenti. The record is from RNAcentral. Lineage: Eukaryota; Metazoa; Platyhelminthes; Trematoda; Strigeidida; Schistosomatidae.
AUCCAGCUGACGAACAGUCCCAAAUAGGAUGAAAUGCGCAUCCUGGAU